RNAcentral lists this ribosomal RNA (253 nucleotides) under uncultured bacterium. RNAcentral's name for it is "partial 16S ribosomal RNA". It matches the Rfam family "Bacterial small subunit ribosomal RNA", at positions 524 to 776 of the family's 1533-position model. The record is from RNAcentral.
UACGUAGGGCGCAAGCGUUGUCCGGAAUUAUUGGGCGUAAAGAGCUCGUAGGCGGUCUGUCACGUCGGAAGUGAAAACCCGGGGCUUAACCCCGGGCUUGCUUUCGAUACGGGCAGACUAGAGUGUGGUAGGGGAGACUGGAAUUCCUGGUGUAGCAGUGAAAUGCGUAGAUAUCAGGAGGAACACCGAUGGCGAAGGCAGGUCUCUGGGCUGAUACUGACGCUCAUGCACGAAAGCGUGGGGAGCAAACAGG